This 468-nucleotide ribosomal RNA is filed under the name uncultured bacterium. Its description in RNAcentral is "partial 16S ribosomal RNA". It matches the Rfam family "Bacterial small subunit ribosomal RNA", at positions 28 to 507 of the family's 1533-position model. The record is from RNAcentral.
GACGAACGCUGGCGGCGUGCUUAACACAUGCAAGUCGAACGGAAAGGCCCUGCUUUUGUGGGGUGCUCGAGUGGCGAACGGGUGAGUAACACGUGAGUAACCUGCCCUUGACUUUGGGAUAACUUCAGGAAACUGGGGCUAAUACCGGAUAGGAGCUCCUGCUGCAUGGUGGGGGUUGGAAAGUUUCGGCGGUUGGGGAUGGACUCGCGGCUUAUCAGCUUGUUGGUGGGGUAGUUGCUUACCAAGGCUUUGACGGGUAGCCGGCCUGAGAGGGUGACCGGCCACAUUGGGACUGAGAGACGGCCCAGACUCCUACGGGAGGCAGCAGUGGGGAAUAUUGCACAAUGGGCGGAAGCCUGAUGCAGCGACGCCGCGUGCGGGAUGACGGCCUUCGGGUUGUAAACCGCUUUCGCCUGUGACGAAGCGUGAGUGACGGUAAUGGGUAAAGAAGCACCGGCUAACUACGUG